GAGCUCCAGCUCCCUCAGACUGAUCCCGUAAGAAAAAGCAAACAUCUUUUCCUGUUUGUUCCCUGCUGCAACACAAAAGACUUUAAAGACUUGAGGCUGCAAAGAAAACUGUUUGUCUUUGGGUCCUGGAACACUGAGAGCUCAUAGGAGACGAGAUCAAUUUUCCAUACAGGUUCCAGCACAUUAGUCCAGACUGGGAAUAGCUCAGCAAGUCUUCAAAUACAGAAGACGACCUUUCUUCUAAACAAGGUGGGGACACUGUGCUGCUAGACCUGGAGCACAGCAAGGUCUAAGGAGGAAAGAGGGAAUCAACCUCCAUGUAAUACAUGGAGGUAGAGGAUAUUGGCUUGCCUUCAGAUUUAUUAGCUAGGAUUUUAAUUAGCACCGUAAUGUCUUUACACCAAACAGCCAGAACAACAUAAGGUAGACAAGCCAGCAAAACAAAGAAAAACAACCCAAAAACACUUUGGGAAAAAAUACUUUUGGAAACCAAAGUGCACCAGAGCCUUCCAUCACUGGGGGCUUCUUUAAAGGGAUGUGCACAUGAUUUCUUGGCAGGUUAACAGGCAUCCCUAGGAAUUACAAAAAGAAAAGAGUGGUAGAACUCUUACAGCAGCAUCUUCUCAAAAGACUUUUCUAGGGGGAGAUUUAUUGAGCCUUAUUCUAUCUGACACUAGUCAGUGAACAUGUGCAAGUUUGGUGAGCCAGGGAAAAAAAAGAGCAUGUCUAUAAAUUCUUAUACUCCAGACAGCAUUCCUCAGAGGCCAGCCCUAAUAAACCCAUCACCACAACAAUACUAUAACUCAGUGGUGCUCAGCUCCUGGCCUUUCAGGGUCUGACAUCUGCAUCUUUUCUUAGGGACUCCUGCAGUAAGCACAGAGUGCAUCAGCUACUGUGAGGAGACAGCAGUUAAUGUUAACAUGGACACAUCAGAGAGCCCCAUCCCAGCCCAAUAUGACUUAACAUGUCUGGAAAUGGACACGUGGCCACUGUGCAAUGCAUCCUUGAACACAAAGAGCUCAGGCCCAGAGAGUUGCUAAACCAUGUGGGCUGUACACCACUAGCAACACUGUUAAGAGCCAAUAAUCUAUAAAAAAUAAUCUUAAAAAAAGAAGUCCCUGUAUCUUACAGUCCUGCAAUACAAGCUGGGGAGCACGAGCUUUAAGUUUCUUCAGCUAAGUGGGAGUUGAGCUGAAUGUCCCAGUUCAAGGGCAAAGCCACGAUGUCAUAUGAGGUAUCAGUCUUCUCACUCCAGUGAGCCAACUGAAGAGAUUGUUGCCAAAACUGGGCAAACCUAAAACACCUCUGAAUCUUUUCACUCUGUGGUUUAACCCUGUUAAACUCUGUGGUUUAACCCUGAUGACAAACUGGUCACCAGGCACGGUUAAUGACUACUGAUGACAAACCAGUAGGUGCUGCUUAACUUGCCUUAACACCUUUUUCACAACCUCUCUACAGCUUUGCCCAAUGACAAAGCAACUGCUGAAGGUGGAUGCCUGUGAGAAGUGUUAUAUGUUUUAGCACUGUACCUUAGGACCCAGAAAUAAUAAGCACAUAAAAGAGAUGUGUAUUUACAAUGCCACCUUUUAAAGAAAUUGCUUAAAAGAAACUCACUGUAGAAACCCAGAAAGGUAAUUCUUCACCUUGCUGAGUAAUCUUGCUAAUAUCAAGAGAAGUUAGAAUUACUGAGUCGUGAACAGAAAUGACACUAUUAGUACUCACAAUGAAGCACUUCAAUAGAAAGGGGAGCAAAGGAAGAACGUGCCCAUUCUCCACCACAGGUGAGGCGAGUCACUGCCAGGAGGUACCACUCACUGCAGCAAUGGACAGAGAGCACACCUGAACUGCUGUAACAUGAAGAGCAGGAAUCUGAGUCACCUGCCUCCAGCAGGGACAUAGCCCAGUUCUCAAGUCAUAGAAUCAUAAAGGUUGGAAAGACCACUAAGAUCACUAAGUCCAACCAUCACCCCACCACCACCAUGACCAUUAAACCACAUCACUCAAUGCAACAUCUCCCCUUUUCUUGAAAGCCUCCAGGGACAGUGAUUAGCCUCUUCCAACACCUCACAGUACUCUAUAAACAGGUCCUCCACUCCCUACAACACCCUGAUUUACUCCCAAAGCACACUACAACUUCCACAAGAACUGAAGAAAGGCUUCAGAAAGACUUUCAUUAAGCUACUUUAUUCCUAGAAGAAAUUUUAUGCUAAGAGAAAAAUAUUGGCACUGUAGAAUAGUGCCAUAAAGUGUUCCCACUUGCACAGGGUGAUGAAGGCUUUUCACUUAAAUUCUGUGACUUCCAUACAUCUCUGCAGGAAGCUGUCCAGGGCUGUAUUUUUUCUAAGAUCUUUCUUAGCUAGUGUAUACUUAAUCUGGACUGAGGAGUAGCAUCAGGGCAGGACGGCCACCACUUCUCCUCAGCAUCCCCAAGAAGGAAAUGAUAUAUUGAUGGUAUAAAGAAGAACAGUGACCUUCAUGCCCUGUUAGGAGGAGCGUCCUAUUUCUGCACUCACACUCAGCAUGAAACAAACAGCUUUAUGGCCAUGACUCCUGAAGGAGGAAAAGAAAACAACAUAACCCCAAACAAGCAUGCAGAUGGAACAGACUCUUCAUGAAAUUGAAUGAGAAUGUGUAAAGCAUGUAAAACAUUCCAUGUUUGACCCUUAUUUUCAUCUUUUCAAAACUAACAUCAAAUAAAACAUUGAGCAACCAG
Long non-coding RNA from Gallus gallus (chicken), 2713 nucleotides. RefSeq lists it as uncharacterized. The record is from RefSeq and is a predicted model, not a curated record. Lineage: Eukaryota; Metazoa; Chordata; Aves; Galliformes; Phasianidae. The transcript is spliced from 2 exons.